RNAcentral lists this long non-coding RNA (256 nucleotides) under Prunus dulcis (almond). RNAcentral's name for it is "sRNA ncRNA". Lineage: Eukaryota; Viridiplantae; Streptophyta; Magnoliopsida; Rosales; Rosaceae. The record is from RNAcentral.
AGAGAGAGAGAGAGAGAGAGAGAGAGAGUUGAAGAAGAAAGACAGAGUACUUUUAGAGAGAUUUGUAUAUUGAUCUUUUAUCAUGACUGAUUACAAUGAUGAGUAUGUUAUAUACAGAGUUAAUCCUGGACUGAUAACAAUCUAACUAACAUCAUGUGGUGUCACAUGCUUUGACACUAACUAACUCCUCACUAUUAUUAUAGUUAUCAUUCCCCCUCAAACCCAGUUGUGGUGGGUAUCCUAAUCUCAGAUGUGC